This 540-nucleotide ribosomal RNA is filed under the name uncultured soil bacterium. RNAcentral describes it as "bacterial SSU rRNA". It matches the Rfam family "Bacterial small subunit ribosomal RNA", at positions 56 to 587 of the family's 1533-position model. The record is from RNAcentral.
UGCAGUCGAGCGGCAGCGCGGGACUCGGGCAACCGAGCCCUGGCGGCGAGCGGCGAACGGGUGAGUAAUGCAUCGGAACGUGUCCCGUAAUGGGGGAUAACGCCGCGAAAGCGGCGCUAAUACCGCAUACGCUCUGAGGAGGAAAGUGGGGGACCUGCAAGGGCCUCACGUUAGGGGAGCGGCCGAUGUCCGAUUAUCUAGUUGGUGGGGUAAUGGCUUACCAAGGCUUCGAUCGGUAGCUGGUCUGAGAGGAUGAUCAUCCACACUGGGACUGAGACACGGCCCAGACUCCUACGGGAGGCAGCAGUGGGGAAUUUUGGACAAUGGGGGCAACCCUGAUCCAGCCAUGCCGCGUGCGGGAAGAAGGCCUUCGGGUUGUAAACCGCUUUUACCGGGAAGAAAAGGCCAUCCCUAACAGGGGUGGUUUUUGACGGUACCGGCGGAAUAAGCACCGGCUAACUACGUGCCACACCGCGGUAAUACUAGGUGCGAGCGUUAAUCAAUUACUGGGCGUAAAGCGUGCGCAGGCGGGUCGUUGUG